AUUGAACGCUGGCGGCAGGCCUAACACAUGCAAGUCGAGCGGAGCGGCGGUCGGGUGAGUAAUGCCUAGGAAUCUGCCUGGUCGUGGGGGAAAGCGCCCGGAAACGGGCGCAAAUAAUGCAUACUAACAGAUGAGCCUAGGUCGGGUUCGCUAGUUGGUGGGGUAAAGGCCUACCAAGGCUACGAUCAGUAACUGGUCUGAGAGGCUGAUCAGUCACACUGGAACUGAGACACGGUCCAGACUCCUACGGGAGGCAGCAGUGGGGAAUAUUGGACAAUGGGCGAAAGCCUGAUCCAGCCAUGCCGCGUGUGUGAAGAAGGUCUUCGGAUUGUAAAGCACUUUAAGUUGGGAGGCGUUACCAACAGAAUAAGCACCGGCUAACUUCGUGCCAGCAGCCGCGGUAAUUC
This 407-nucleotide ribosomal RNA is filed under the name uncultured bacterium. Its description in RNAcentral is "partial 16S ribosomal RNA". It matches the Rfam family "Bacterial small subunit ribosomal RNA", at positions 30 to 526 of the family's 1533-position model. The record is from RNAcentral.